This 246-nucleotide unclassified non-coding RNA is filed under the name uncultured fungus. Its description in RNAcentral is "sequence contains ITS1". The record is from RNAcentral. Lineage: Eukaryota; Fungi.
GUAACGAUUACGUUAUUUCUGACGCUGAUUGCAAUUACAAAGGGUUAUAAAGGGUCCUACUGGCAGGCAAGCCUGCCGAGGAAACAAUGGGUGCGCAAAAAGCAAGGGUAAGGUUCAGGUGGCAAGCUCGAUCAGCGGAAUCCGCCCCAGCCAGUGGAACCAAACAUCCACCAGCUGUCCUUUCGGAAAGCCUGCCCCCGUGGACUUUAUCAUUUAAUGAUCCUUCCGCAGGUUCACCUACGGAAA